GACAGAGGGUGCAACCGUUGCUCGGAAUCACUGGGCGUAAAGGGCGUGUAGGCGGGGAGGAUAGUCAGAUGUGAAAUCCCCGGGCUCAACCUGGGAAUGGCAUUCGGGACUGCAAGGCUGGAGUGCGGCAGAGGAGACUGGAAUUCCUGGUGUAGCAGUGAAAUGCGUAGAUAUCAGGAGGAAUACCGAUGGCGAAGGCAGGUCUCUGGGCUGACACUGACGCUCAUGCACGAAAGCGUGGGGAGCAAACAGG
Molecule: ribosomal RNA, 253 nt
Filed under: uncultured bacterium
Lineage: Bacteria
Description: partial 16S ribosomal RNA
Rfam family: Bacterial small subunit ribosomal RNA
Source: RNAcentral